CAAUAGCGUAUAUUAAAGUUGUUGCAGUUAAAAAGCUCGUAGUUGGAUUUGUGGCGUACGGUGUGUUCCGGGCACUUGUUGUCUGAGUAACCUGCUGUUGCCAUCCUUGGGUGGAACCUGUGUGGCAUUAGGUUGUCGUGCAGGGGAUGCCCAUCAUUUACUGUGAAAAAAUUAGAGUGCUCAAAGCAGGCUUAUGCCGUUGAAUAUAUUAGCAUGGAAUAAUGAGAUAGGACUUUUUUGCUAUUUUGUUGGUUUGCGCAAGAAGGUAAUGAUUAAUAGGGACAGUUGGGGGUAUUCGUAUUCCAUUGUCAGAGGUGAAAUUCUUGGAUUUUUGGAAGACGAACUACUGCGAAAGCAUUUACCAAGGAUGUUUUCAUUAA
Molecule: ribosomal RNA, 380 nt
Filed under: uncultured eukaryote
Lineage: Eukaryota
Description: partial 18S ribosomal RNA
Rfam family: Eukaryotic small subunit ribosomal RNA
Source: RNAcentral